This 599-nucleotide ribosomal RNA is filed under the name uncultured fungus. RNAcentral's name for it is "eukaryotic LSU rRNA". It matches the Rfam family "Eukaryotic large subunit ribosomal RNA", at positions 37 to 652 of the family's 3401-position model. Lineage: Eukaryota; Fungi. The record is from RNAcentral.
AGCAUAUCAAUAAGCGCAGGAAAAGAAACCAACAGGGAUUACCUCAGUAACGGCGAGUGAAGCGGUAAUAGCUCAAAUUUGAAAUCUGGCCUCUUGGGGUCCGAGUUGUAAUUUGUAGAGGAUGUUUUGGGUACCGCCCCGGUUUAAAUUUCUUGGAACAGAAUGUCAAAGAGGGUGAGAAUCCCGUCUUGGACCGGUGGUAGGGCCUGUGUAAAACUCCUUCGACGAGUCGAGUUGUUUGGGAAUGCAGCUCAAAAUGGGUGGUAAAUUUCAUCUAAAGCUAAAUAUUGGCCAGAGACCGAUAGCGCACAAGUAGAGUGAUCGAAAGAUGAAAAGCACUUUGAAAAGAGAGUUAAACAGUAUGUGAAAUUGUUGAAAGGGAAGCGCUUGCAAUCAGACUUGAGCGCGGCGGUUCCCCUGACCUUUUGGUUAGGCUAUUCCGUCGUGUCCAGGCCAACAUCGGUUCUGAGGGUCGGUCAAAGGCCUUGGGAAUGUAUCUACCCACGGGUAGACUUAUAGACCAGGGUGUCAUGCGGCCUCUCGGGACCGAGGAACGCGCUUCGGCUCGGAUGUUGGCGUAAUGGUUGUCAGCGACCCGU